UACGUACGUGGCGAGCGUUAUCCGGAAUUACUGGGCGUAAAGGGCUCGUAGGUGGCCAACUAAGUCAGACGUGAAAUCCCUCAGCUUAACUGGGGAACUGCGUCUGAUACUGGAUGGCUUGAGUUUGGGAGAGGGAUGCGGAAUUCCAGGUGUAGCGGUGAAAUGCGUUGAUAUCCUAAGGAACACCGGUGGCGAAAGCGGCGUACUGGGUCUUAUCUGACGCUGAGGCACGAAAGCUAGGGUAGCGAACGGG
Molecule: ribosomal RNA, 253 nt
Filed under: uncultured bacterium
Lineage: Bacteria
Description: partial 16S ribosomal RNA
Rfam family: Bacterial small subunit ribosomal RNA
Source: RNAcentral